UACGUAGGGGACUAGCGUUGUCCGGAAUCAUUGGGCGUAAAGAGCGUGUAGGCGGCCCGGUAAGUCCGCUGUAAAAGUCAAAGGCUCAACCUUUGAAUGUCAGUGGAUACUGCCGGGCUAGAGUCCGGAAGAGGCGAGUGGAACUCCUGGUGUAGCGGUGGAAUGCGCAGAUAUCAGGAAGAACACCAACGGCGAAGGCAGCUCGCUAGGACGGUACUGACGCUGAGACGCGAAAGCGUGGGGAGCAAACAGG
Molecule: ribosomal RNA, 253 nt
Filed under: uncultured bacterium
Lineage: Bacteria
Description: partial 16S ribosomal RNA
Rfam family: Bacterial small subunit ribosomal RNA
Source: RNAcentral